GCGCCCAGGCCUGCCCGGACAGGAAGUGGGCCCAGCUUUCCCACUCCUCGCUCCGCUCCUUCCUCCGCGGGAAGGGCAGGCCCCGGAGGCAGCGAGCGCCCCGGGGGUGGCCGGGCAGCCGGAUGCUCCCGGGGUUGCGGGCUGUGGCCCCGGGGGCUGAGGGCGGCGCGGGUGCGGCGGAAGCAGGGAAGCCGCGAACCGGCCUUCUGGCUGGCCACAGCGCCCUGCACGGACGAUCAGUGAAUGGAGAUUACUCAAUUGAACCUUCGUCUUGUGAGGAACAGAAAGAUCAAGAACUCUGAAGCACCUCGACUUUCCACCUGUGAAGAUGUGUUCAAAUUUGCAACGUGCGGCCACACCUAUGAGGUCACUCCCUCUGGAGGAAACCAGCUGCCACUUUGUGAGGAUACUCAUAGUCCUGUGGAGGCAUAUCCUCCAUAUGGCUGAGACCUCCUGCGAACAACCAUCACUGACUUGCCAGACAUGAGUGUGCCACCUUGGAAGCAGAUUUUCCAGCCCCAGUUAAGCCUUCAGAUGACAUCAGCCCCUGCUAAUCUCUUGACUACAACCUCAUGAGAGACCCUGAGCCAGAACUAGCCAGGCUUACCCCUCAUGGUUACAAAGUGGCUGCAACAGCUCCAGGUGUUCUAUCCUUUAACACAGAAUAACUCAAACAACAAGACCCAAUAUUCAGACAAGAAGGAAAGGGACUUUUGGAGAGUGAAGAAAACUUUCCUAGAAACCUCAAACUUCUCCCCAUGCCUUAUUGGCCAGAUUGUAUCCCAUGCCCAUUUCUAAACCAAUCAUUGGCAAAGUGAGUGGAAUUGACGUGAUUAGAUUAACUUUACCAAGAAUGCAUCCUCAGAGAGGCUGAGAAAAAGUCCAGCCUCCUUUGAAGAGCCUGGCUACCUUUCACCUGAACAAAACAAGAAUUCUGAUGAAAAAUGGAGAAUGUAUGUGGAGCAGGCACCCGGAGUGUCUAUGCCAGGAUUUUUUUUCAGUGCGUUUCACCGGUUAUAUUUUUGUCUCUUUACCUUACAAGAUAUGUGGCACGUUUGCCUAAAACAAGCCUUGCUUUCUGAUUUCUGUGCACUAGGCACUUAAACCUUGCAAAUGUCGCUUACCUAACAGUCACUGUCAAGGAGUACCUGGCUAAAGAAUCUCCAGCUAGACAAAGUAGAAGUGUCUGUGCUCUGGCAGUUGAAUAUAUUGUAUCAGGCUCAACAGCACCUUUCACCAAAGGAUGAGACUUCACAACCAUUAGAUCUUCUUUUAUUUUGUUUUUAUUAAAAAAAAAAAUUUUAACACACCAUUGCUAACUUGAAGCCAUUAGAUCUUCUUACCCCCAAUACCACAAAAGUUUAGUGGAAUCAGGGGUAUACCAAGGCAGGUGGAGUAGGGGAGCUGGGAGUGGUCAGCCCCCAGGGCAGGCAAUGAGGGAUUGUGAAUCUGUGAAGAAUUUUAAAGCAAUGAUACAGCUCUAAAUGCAAUGUACUAUCCUGGACUUAGCCCUGGAAAAGAAAAAAGAUAUUAGUGGAAAAACUGGUAAAAUUCAAAUAAUGUCUGUAGUUUGGUUAAUAGUAUUAUACCAAUGUUAAUUUCUGUGUUUUGAUAAAUGUACCAUGGUUAUGUAAGCUGGAUGAAAGAUAUGUGGGAAAUCUCUCUACUAUUUCUGCAACUCUCCUGUAAACCUAAAAAUGUUUCAAAAUAAAA
This is a long non-coding RNA of Homo sapiens (human), 1713 nucleotides long. Ensembl annotates it as TRAM2 antisense RNA 1 (head to head). Its record names the gene TRAM2-AS1. Lineage: Eukaryota; Metazoa; Chordata; Mammalia; Primates; Hominidae. The record is from Ensembl.